UACGUAGGGUGCGAGCGUUGUCCGGAAUUACUGGGCGUAAAGGGCGCGUAGGCGGUUGGAUAAGUCAGCUGUGAAAACCACGGGCUUAACUCGUGGCCUGCAGUUGAGACUGUCUGGCUUGAGUGUGGGAGAGGAGAGUGGAAUUCCUGGUGUAGCGGUGAAAUGCGUAGAUAUCAGGAGGAACACCGGUGGCGAAGGCGGCUCUCUGGACCACAACUGACGCUGAGGCGCGAAAGCUAGGGGAGCAAACAGG
RNAcentral lists this ribosomal RNA (253 nucleotides) under uncultured bacterium. Its description in RNAcentral is "partial 16S ribosomal RNA". It matches the Rfam family "Bacterial small subunit ribosomal RNA", at positions 524 to 776 of the family's 1533-position model. The record is from RNAcentral.